GUGACACACAACUCCUUGUCAACUUCCAUUCCAGUCUGCUGUGUCUUACGACACCCUGGGUGUCCCCAUUCUGGACUUUAGGGACGUGGUGUCCCUGGCCCUUCAGAAGACUGACUCUGCCUUGGUCACAAGGGCCGCAUUCCUAACCACAGCCGUCACGGCAGCCUCCCGCCGGCUCUGGUGGCUGGAGCAACCACAUCGACUCUUUCCAUGCCAGUGGCAAGAUACCUGGGACUUUACCAAAUUCCCCUGAAGAAGCCAGAAAAGAAAUGAUAAAAAGAAAUGGAAAUGGUUACUUCCAGAGAAUCCAUGGAAAUGAGAUAGCACAAACAGGGGGAGCAGCAGGCAGAAGGAGAAGCAGGCUCCCCGCUGAACGGGGAGCCCGAUGCAGGGCUCAUUCCAGGACCCUGAGGCUGUGACCUGAGCUGAAGGCAGAUGCUUAACGACUGAACUACCCAGGCGCCCCUAAAUUUGACUUUUGAACCAUGUGGACAUUGUACAUAUUAAAACUGAAAAAACAAUUCCA
Long non-coding RNA from Lutra lutra (Eurasian river otter), 526 nucleotides. RefSeq lists it as uncharacterized. The record is from RefSeq and is a predicted model, not a curated record. Lineage: Eukaryota; Metazoa; Chordata; Mammalia; Carnivora; Mustelidae. The transcript has 3 exons.